GUGGGGAAUAUUGCACAAUGGAGGAAACUCUGAUGCAGCGACGCCGCGUGAGUGAAGAAGUAUUUCGGUAUGUAAAGCUCUAUCAGCAGGGAAGACAGUGACGGUACCUGACUAAGAAGCUCCGGCUAAAUACGUGCCAGCAGCCGCGGUAAUACGUAUGGAGCAAGCGUUAUCCGGAUUUACUGGGUGUAAAGGGAGUGUAGGUGGCAGCACAAGUCAGAAGUGAAAGCCCGGGGCUCAACCCCGGGACUGCUUUUGAAACUGUGCAGCUAGAGUGCAGGAGAGGUGAGUGGAAUUCCUAGUGUAGCGGUGAAAUGCGUAGAUAUUAGGAGGAACACCAGUGGCGAAGGCGGCUCACUGGACUGUAACUGACACUGAGGCUCGAAAGCGUGGGGAGCAAACAGGAUUAGAAACCCGAGUAGUCC
This 425-nucleotide ribosomal RNA is filed under the name uncultured bacterium. RNAcentral describes it as "partial 16S ribosomal RNA". It matches the Rfam family "Bacterial small subunit ribosomal RNA", at positions 354 to 796 of the family's 1533-position model. The record is from RNAcentral.